Parambassis ranga (Indian glassy fish) is the source of this 1125-nucleotide long non-coding RNA. NCBI's taxonomy places the organism in Eukaryota, Metazoa, Chordata, Actinopteri, Ambassidae. The record is from Ensembl.
AUUAAUGUGGCCUACCCUUCAUUUCUGGGAGACAAGAGAGACAUCGACCUCAUCAUAGCACCAGAAUACAGCGCAGGAAACAUGUUUGAGACUCUGACUCUUGCCAGAGACUACGCAGCCGAGGUGCAGAAGCCUUUCCCGGAGAUUGGUGAGACAGUCCUGCAGGACAGAGACUGGCCCAAGGACUGCUACGUGUUUGAAGGAAAAGGGAAGGAACCCACCAUCGUUUACAUGCCGCUCUUCAACAGACAAAACUGCAAAGAUGCAGAGGAGUUCAAAGCAAAGAUGGAGGAGUUCUCCACCUUCCAGCCCCCCUUCAACCAGGAGAAGAUCAAGUUUUUGUUGGAGACAGCCAAGGCUAACAUGAAGAACAACAAGGAAACUCUGCUGAGGGAGAUAAACAAAGCCGCCGUGCGCCGACAGAGCAAGAGGUGUGGACGGGCCUGAGUGUGUGUGUGUGUGUGUGUGUGUGUGUGUGUGUGUGUGUGUAGAUGGAGAUGAAGGAAUCAGAUCGUCCUACAGCACUGUCAAUGUAGGUCAAAGCUGAAUCUCAUAUCUCCUUAGAGCAUGUAAUCUGUGAGCUCACAGCGAGACAGGGGGAUGACAGAGGCUCGCUGUAUCUGUGUGAUCAGAGAGAGAUGUAACCAUGAUGGAAAAAUAACAUGCAUUCAUUCCUCUCUGUCUCCUGUUCUAGGUCUCUGCUGUGCCCGGUCUCUGACUCUUGUCUGUAGGGUUUUGUGUGUUUGAUUUCAUAAUACAUCACAUUUUAUACUCAAUGGUUUGUUACCAAAGUGUUUCCUUACAGAGGAAGACAGACAGGAAUCAGAAAGGAGAGCUGGGUUCCUGCUGAAAAAAUCAAGCAAGUCAGAGUAAAGUCCCAUUUAAAAAAGAGGUCAUUUAAUUCUAACUUUAACCUCAGAGGAAAAUGUUUUUAAAAACCCGACAGUUCUACAAGGAUUUUUCCAGAAAACAGACAAUCUGUUGUUUUUUUUAAUUCCUCAAAAUGUAUUUUUACAGAAUUCUUGUGAAAAGUGAAAGAAAUGACGUCAUUAUUAUUCAUAUAAGUAUUGUUAUUAGACAGAACUGCACCAAGCCCAUAUUCGACAUAUAAUCGAUGUAAACGCC